RNAcentral lists this long non-coding RNA (1064 nucleotides) under Homo sapiens (human). RNAcentral describes it as "long non-coding RNA NONHSAT164893". The record is from RNAcentral. Lineage: Eukaryota; Metazoa; Chordata; Mammalia; Primates; Hominidae.
GUUGCAUGUUGAGAGUUCAUGCCCCAAAAUGAAUAAUACGAAGGAAAGAUAAAAAGAUGGAGAAAUAAAGACACAAUAGUUCACAUGCUUUAGAAUAUUGAGGAAUCAAUAACGUAUGCUAUUGCAGUAGCUUUAAAGAGAUUAUCAUUAUAAAUGCUUUGGGUUCCCUCAGUUUUGAAUUUAAACAACAAAUAUUUGUACAUCAGAAUCUAGUGCUUUUGAAUAUUUUACAUUCCAGCUGACAUUACGCUCCUUUCUCCCAUUACCCGUUUACCCAUGCCACCCCCCCGACACACCAGAAAAUAUAGCAAAUAAAAAUAUGAUUUUGACAGUUCUGUCAUUAGGAAUCAAUGAAGACAGUCACAAGAUAUUUCCUAGUAAGCUCUUGGACAGAGAAAGGAAAUGUAAUUAAGAUGUUGACUAAUUUAAUGACGUCUAUUCUCCAGAGCAUAUCCACUUUUACCGCUGUUGCUAUUUCCAGAUCCUAUUUUCCAGCCAGUGAUUUUUUUCAUGAGUUGUGAUAUUCACUUGAAACCUUAAUCAUUCUCAAAGAUCCAGCUCUAAAAUGGAAAUUAGGGCUUUUCCCUCCAUCUGAAACUCACUUGAAAGAACUAAAGCUGCUGUGUCAACUGCUUUCAAGAAUUAUAGAGGGCAAAGCAAGGGAAGAGCUUAAGAAUAAUGUAAAAGAUUUUUAUUCUAAAACACUGAUUACCUAGACUCUUCCUGUGGAAAUUUAAAUGCUGAAUUUUCAGAUCCUAGAUUGAAAUGAGAGCGAGAUACACAAUAUGGCCUUGGUAAGAAUAUCUAAUAAGGACUCUGCCAUCAUAAAAUGAAAUGUUGGUGGCAUCCAAAUAAUGCACUACAAAUUAAGUGGGAAGCAACAUUUUUAUGCCUAAAACUCAAAUUUAAAGGGUUCUAUUAAUUAAGGUACAAUUUGUGGUGAACGAUAUUUCAAUAAACUUGAUUGUUAAAUUCUAUUUUUAUCUAAUACUAUCUAUACACUUUUAUCUUUGUCCCUGGCUUUUUAAACAUAAUCCUUAUUCAGUCUCUAAUUGCAUCCUCAG